CACGUAGGGCGCAAGCGUUGUCCGGAAUUAUUGGGCGUAAAGAGCGCGCAGGCGGUCGUUCAAGUCGCGUGUGAAAGCCCCCGGCUCAACUGGGGAGGGUCACGCGAUACUGAUCGACUCGAAGGCAGGAGAGGGAAGUGGAAUUCCCGGUGUAGUGGUGAAAUGCGUAGAUAUCGGGAGGAACACCAGUGGCGAAGGCGACUUCCUGGCCUGUUCUUGACGCUGAGGCGCGAAAGCUAGGGGAGCAAACGGG
This 253-nucleotide ribosomal RNA is filed under the name uncultured bacterium. RNAcentral describes it as "partial 16S ribosomal RNA". It matches the Rfam family "Bacterial small subunit ribosomal RNA", at positions 524 to 776 of the family's 1533-position model. The record is from RNAcentral.